UAAUACAGGGGGUGCAAGCGUUGUUCGGAAUUACUGGGCGUAAAGGGAGCGUAGGCGGGAUUACAAGACAGGGGUUAAAUCUCCGGGCUCAACCUGGAACUUGCCUUUGUGACUGUAGUCCUUGAAUAUGGUAGAGGUCAGUGGAAUUUCCGGUGUAGCGGUGGAAUGCGUAGAGAUCGGAAAGAACACCAGAGGCGAAGGCGACUGACUGGACCAAUAUUGACGCUGAGGCUCGAAAGCGUGGGGAGCAAACAGG
This 256-nucleotide ribosomal RNA is filed under the name uncultured bacterium. Its description in RNAcentral is "partial 16S ribosomal RNA". It matches the Rfam family "Bacterial small subunit ribosomal RNA", at positions 521 to 776 of the family's 1533-position model. The record is from RNAcentral.